AUGUGUCUGAGGCAGGUCUUCCUGACACCAGGCCCAGAGGUCUGUGCCUUUAACUCUUUGAAAAAGAAUUGUCCAGAAAAGAACUGAACAGUUAUUAUUCUAGAAUGUUAUUAUAUUUUAACAUGUUAUCUUUUUUCCUUGUUCAAGGUUUCAUAGUGUUUUGGGGAAGAAAGGAUAUGUGCGAUGGCAUGAGAGACUGUUUGGACAUUUUUUUCUCUUUAAGUGUUGCCAUUUACCUGAAUGGUAAUGUUUAAUAAAAGUCAGCAUCAGACCUAAGACUGCUUCUCUUUGAAAGACAUCCAUGGCCACCGGAAGUUUUUCAGAAAAGAAUCAUCAAAGUUCAGUACCAGGACAAAGAUCAAGAUGACCAAGAUGACCUGGGAUGCGAUGGAUGACCCUCGGUAUCGUGUCUGACCAAGCUCUAAACACUUCACAGUACCUUCAUCGCCACUGGAACCCAGGCGUGCAGCUAAAGUAAACACUGAAUGUCCACCUUGGAAAAAGUUAGGGGGACCUCAGACUGGGGAACAAUGUCUCUAUCCUUAGAAAAGCUGACAUUUGAGCUCCCCCAUCAGAGAAUUAAAAGAUGCAAAUUCUUCAACAACAUGAUUAGACCAGAAAUUUUUCAGAGGCUUCUCUUUUAAUCUAAAUUAAAAAUAUACUGUCUGGAUUUUUGAUUACAUGAAUA
Molecule: long non-coding RNA, 688 nt
Organism: Sarcophilus harrisii (Tasmanian devil)
Lineage: Eukaryota; Metazoa; Chordata; Mammalia; Dasyuromorphia; Dasyuridae
Exons: 3
Source: RefSeq, a predicted model, not a curated record